Molecule: long non-coding RNA, 2925 nt
Organism: Cephus cinctus (wheat stem sawfly)
Lineage: Eukaryota; Metazoa; Arthropoda; Insecta; Hymenoptera; Cephidae
Exons: 3
Source: RefSeq, a predicted model, not a curated record
AAACAGGAUGCGACUAAAAUAAGAGGGAAGAAAUGUAGAAUGUACACUAAAGAAAUAAUAAGAAAAUCCUCUUAAGAUACUCCAGUACAGCGCAAUGGAUUACGCAAGAUUUAUUCUUGCUCAGUGAGUAAUUUGUUUAUGAAUGGGAAUGAUUAGCGAUGUUACUGACCCGCGGAUGCUUCGUUACUAUCUGCCAGUGCGUCUAAUCGUAUGUCACUGUAUAGAACGUGAACGAUCUGGAAAUAUGUCAAUAAUGCAAUAACAAUAAAUUUUGAAGUUCCCAAGCCUGAACAUAGUCACUUUUGUCUACACAUUUCACACUUUUGUCUACAAUUAAUGCUUAAUUACACAUGUGAAUUUUCGGAAGUGAAUUUACGUAAAUUUUUAAUGAACUAAAAAAAGCCUAUUAAAUAAUUAUUUUAUACUCGUCAGUCAUUAGGUUCGUUUAACCUAAGAGGAGAGCGACGUAAAAUUCUACUUCUGAGUUAUUCUAUUCGUUGUAACGGACUCACAGUCCAAUUCCACAGAUUUCGCUCUCACGCGCCUCACUUUGUUUUCGAUUGAACAAUAAUUGAUAUCGUGCGAGUAAUAAACAAUGAGAUACGUACAUAGAUUUCGUUCGUUACUCAAUAACAGGAGCAUCGUAGGACUCUAGUUAGAGUCUAAAGGAGACGAAUAAAAAUAUAUUAAUCUGUUUUACCAUACGAGUAAAAAGCUAUGGGAAAAGAUUGAUUUUACCGACUCCCAUUUACUCAGUCAUGGGAGACACGUGUCGAUAAUGAUUUCUUUUUCCUGCCUCUGGCAAGGCGCCAGGGUCGCAGCUAUAAAAAUUAUGACGCAACGGUGUGGACGCAGUGCUCGUCGUAGAUUUAAUGAUGUUGGUCUCUUUUAUAAAUCAUUUCAUCGACCCGCGAAGAGGUGGUAGAAAAAAAAAACAAAAAGAAAGGAAAAGGAUCAGACGGUUCGAAAAUCCUGGAAAGUUUCGUCGCGUUACUAUACUCUAAGGUCCGUAUUCAUAGUCAGUGCUUGACACAAAGCACAGUCUUAAGACCAUAUAUAUAGUAAUAAUAACACUUGGUAGAGAAUGUCUUAAGAUCGUGCUUAAAACGAAGAACUGAAUCUGAAUACGGCCCUAAGACUUUUAUCGCAAGGUACGGUAGACGCGAUCGAAGUUCCUGAAUUUCAAACGCGUAACGGCCAGUUCACGUGAGCCGUUCGUUCAGAAGCCGGUUAAUCGACCUUAUGGGUAAUGUUAAAGUAUAAUAAAAAUUUACGUGAGAGCUAUUUCGGAAACGAUGACGUCAGCUGUAGAACGCCACGAGGCCGCUGACAGCCAGUGACGAAAUUUUCGCCGCUUCCACUAAGAAGUGAAUGUUGAUAAUAGGCAUAACCUCGAAAACGGCAUAGCGUCUUCACGGUACGCUGAAUUCGAAAUAUUCUUCAGGACUAUUUUAUUUCUCGUGGAUUUAGAGAAACGACGUAAAUACCGAAUUAUCCUUUUGCUACCAUUCAAUUUCGUUAGCUAUUAUUUUUUAAUUGAAUCUCGGAUAAAUCGAAUCGGACACUUUGACAAGAACGACAAUUUUUUCAAUAUUGCUGUACUCUCCAUAUCGACUUCGUCAUCGUGCCUAAUGUUUCCGGUCGGUACGGCAGCCAAGGAAUGCUCCGCAAUUAUCAAAUACUAUAUAUUAAUAAUAACAAGCCUUGAAUUUUCUGUUAUUAACCGCGGGAAAUUUAAAUUUCUUAAAAUAAAUUUAGCCAAGUUUCACUGAAUCACGCCAAAAGCGAAUAACAUAAAAUCGUCAGUCUUACAUACACGAAGAGCAUAAUCGAUCGCUAUCAUGGGAACUAGACGUUAGCAACGAGUUACAUUGUAAAUUGAAUGAUGAUGUCAUGCGGGUGGAAUCGAUUGGUAGGAGCUGAAUGACGUCACGAACUACAGGAGAGUGACGAGUUACGACUUAGUUAUUACGUGCAGCUGUCAUACCGGAAGUGGCAUCCAUAUUGAAUGUACAAAGAAACAAACAAACAAUUGGUUAAGUCAAUGUAUACCUAAGGUAUCGUUCAAAGACGAGCAAAGUAUGCCUGGAGAUAUUAAAGGAAAAUGAUAAAGAGCAGAAAGAGUAAUGACCGGAAGUAGCCAACGGUGUCAAGGAUAUUCCCAGAAAGUACGAUAAAUUUCCACAAAGUCUAUUAUGUGACUAUGCCCGUAUACAGUGGAGCGAAGACAUGAGAAAAGCAAAAAAAAGGUCUAAGAGAGAAGAGAUAGAAAAAUCGAUGAAAACCUUCUAUUCCCUGAGUACUGCCAAGCACAUUUGGAAUGUGGGUCAAGCCAGGAAAACGAUCCACACCCGUUACCACGUUUGCAACCAUUUGUAAUAUUGCGUGUAUGUAGGUACAAUUUAUGUCUAGGAAGUGAACGGAUCCAAUCACGGUAUUGUCCUGUGGUUCUAUUUGGCGACCUUCAACCUUUGAACCGUAGCCUGAUAAAUUUCACGAACUGAAGUCAACCGGGCUUGGGUCACAGCAUGAGUUUGCGGUAUGGCUAGUGAUGUAAGAAAUUAUAUAAAAAAUGAAAAAGAUAAACCAUGUAUUCAUAAGCGUCCGGUACUCUGUAAUUAUAGCAACCUAGACCAGCUCACUGCGGUAGUCAGUAAAUGCUACUGAGGUCCGUGGCAAAGCAGAAAAUAAGACUGUUGUAGCUAGUGUGUGCAGAGAGGCGUCCAAGUAUGUUACGCCACAUAGGAUCCUGUGUUAAAAGAAUUUGUAAAAAUAAGAUAGAAAAUAAGCCGAUAGAGUUCAUGGCUGAACGAUAACAGAUCAAGGAAGGGAGCAGCUCUCAUUAUUCUUUUGGUUCAAGACGCAGAACGACAACAGGGAUAAUGAAAAUAAAUGAUACAAACUGCAACAUCGGCCAACGAAAUG